RNAcentral lists this ribosomal RNA (200 nucleotides) under uncultured eukaryote. Its description in RNAcentral is "partial 18S ribosomal RNA". It matches the Rfam family "Eukaryotic small subunit ribosomal RNA", at positions 588 to 800 of the family's 1831-position model. The record is from RNAcentral.
GCUCCAAUAGCGUAUAUUAAAGUUGUUGCGGUUAAAAAGCUCGUAGUUGAAUUUCUGCCAAGGACGACCUACCACCUUAGGGUGCGUGUCAGUGUUGACCGAGGCAUCCUCCUAGCAGCGUCCGCAUUUAACCGUGCGGUUCGUUCUAGGACUUUUACUUUGAGGAAAUUAGAGUGUUUCAAGCAGCUUACGCCUUGAAU